CAGGAUGGACCCGCGUCUGAUUAGCUAGUUGGUAAGGUAACGGCUUACCAAGGCGACGAUCAGUAGCCGACCUGAGAGGGUGAUCGGCCACAUUGGAACUGAGACACGGUCCAAACUCCUACGGGAGGCAGCAGUGGGGAAUAUUGCACAAUGGGCGAAAGCCUGAUGCAGCAACGCCGCGUGAGUGAUGAAGGCCUUCGGGUCGUAAAACUCUGUCCUCAAGGAAGAUAAUGACGGUACUUGAGGAGGAAGCCCCGGCUAACUACGUGCCAGCAGCCGCGGUAAUA
RNAcentral lists this ribosomal RNA (287 nucleotides) under Clostridioides difficile. RNAcentral's name for it is "partial 16S ribosomal RNA". It matches the Rfam family "Bacterial small subunit ribosomal RNA", at positions 221 to 525 of the family's 1533-position model. The record is from RNAcentral. Lineage: Bacteria; Bacillati; Bacillota; Clostridia; Peptostreptococcales; Peptostreptococcaceae.